GUAGGGAAUAUUGGACAAUGGGGGCAACCCUGAUCCAGCGACGCCGCGUGAGUGAUGAAGGCCUUCGGGUCGUAAAGCUCUGUUGCAGGGGAAGAACACAAUGACGGUACCCUGCUAGAAAGGAUCGGCUAACUUCGUGCCAGCAGCCGCGGUAAGACGAGGGAUCCUAGCGUUGUUCGGAAUUAUUGGGCGUAAAGCGGGUGCAGGUGGCUUUGUAAGUCAGAUGUGAAAGCCUGGGGCUUAACCCCAGAAGUGCAUUUGAUACUGCUGAGCUUGAGUGCUGGAGAGGCUAUUAGAAUUCCUGGUGUAGUGGUGAAAUACGUAGAUAUCAGGAGGAAUACCGGAGGCGAAGGCGGAUAGCUGGCCAGACACUGACACUCAGACCCGAAAGCGUGGGGAUCAAACAGGAUUAGAAACCCGAGUAGUCC
This 428-nucleotide ribosomal RNA is filed under the name uncultured bacterium. RNAcentral describes it as "partial 16S ribosomal RNA". It matches the Rfam family "Bacterial small subunit ribosomal RNA", at positions 354 to 796 of the family's 1533-position model. The record is from RNAcentral.